This 72-nucleotide transfer RNA is filed under the name Heterocephalus glaber (naked mole-rat). It matches the Rfam family "tRNA". Rfam says of the family: Transfer RNA (tRNA) molecules are approximately 80 nucleotides in length. Lineage: Eukaryota; Metazoa; Chordata; Mammalia; Rodentia; Bathyergidae. The record is from Rfam by way of RNAcentral.
GGGGCUAUAGCUCAGUGGUAGAACACUUGCUUGGGAUAUAGGAAGGCCUGGGUUAAAUCCCCAGCACCCCCC